RNAcentral lists this long non-coding RNA (2701 nucleotides) under Gallus gallus (chicken). Its description in RNAcentral is "lncRNA (ENSGALG00010022078.1)". The record is from RNAcentral. Lineage: Eukaryota; Metazoa; Chordata; Aves; Galliformes; Phasianidae.
CCUCCAUGGAUGCUCCACGUAACUCUACCAAUUAAGGUACUUUGGUGGCAAGUGGUUUUCCUAUGGUAAAAGGUCUCCUGAAGGACACCUUGCUGGGAAGGUCUUCUCUCUGACAUCCACUCAUGAAGCUCUACGACUUCCUAAGGAAGUUUGCAACAAUCCAGAAUGCCACAGCACAAAUUCUGUGACGACGUAUUACCAUCAUCAAUAAUAAUUAUCAGAAAUCAUGAUAAUUACCAGCAAAGCUGCCUGCUGCGGAUAAUGACAUCCAUCUAAGAAGGAUAACUGUGCAUGCUGAGGCUUGUCUGCUUGAGAGGAGUCCACCCGUUCACUCUGGAAGGUGGAAAAUGUCCAAUGCAAGGCUCUGUGAUGCUCCAGCUUACAGCAGAUUGAUGUCAGUGCAGCUCCUCUGGCAGCAGCAGGAUUGCUCUUCUGCACCAGGAUCGGGGCCAGGUUCUCUGCAGGGGAAAAGAGACAAGAAGCAAGCUGAACUGUUUGCAUUUGUGUCUUUGCCUCACGCUGUGCCCUGGUUAAAGCAAGGCAGCAGAGGGAUGCUUCUCCCUUCCAGGGAGAAGGCCUGAUGAGGGCAGUAAGAAUUGCUCAUGGCUACAUCCUUCAUGUGGGCAUCUCACAGCAGACACUUCUCAGUUGAACACUCGCUCCUGGCGGGCAGGUAGGGAUGCUGUCCCCAUGCUUCAAGUGCACAGAGGCCCAUGUGGAACAGCUGGAGAAGCUGGGAAUACAGGCAAGAAAGGCCAACUUCAUAGGUCACAAACCACAGCAGCGAGGCCAGUCAAGCUGGUCAUUCUGAUGAAUGAGUUCACACACAGCCCCAUAAGCUUAGCUUAGCAACACCCGAGUACAAAAGGGAGCGAGCUCCCACAGCCUGACCCAGAACUGCCCAGUGACCAUUCCACUGACUGCACAGGCUUCACCCCCAGCAGGCUGCAAGCAGAGCCCACCAGAACCGGACCCAUGGGAGCAAGCAGGAGGCCCUGCUGUCUUAUCCUGCACCAGGAAUCCAUUCUCAGAGGAUUAAUUAUUUGUACUGUUAAGCAAACACGAGCGCCUGUGGUGCAGGCUGAGUAGGGCUGCUCCUAAUCGAAAACAGCCUGCUUGUUUAUUUCUAGCUUUUUUUCCCCCCAUUGUCUAUUUUGGUGCUUAAAAAAAGCAAAGCUGGGAGCUGCGUGGCCAUGCUCUCCCUGCAGCAGCCUGCAAGCCCCCAUCAGCCAGGAAGGAACAGCAGAGACGCUGUGCACUCCCAGAUCUCUCCUGUGCAAGGACUGCACGGCCAGACAGGUUACAGGGGAGAGUUAUUAAAACCAUCUGAACUCGAGCAAUGCUGGGCAGCCUGUAAUGUUAUUUUUGUUAAUGUAGCUGCUUAUAGGCCCCAGUUUUUCUUUCUUUUCUGUUUUUGGCACAGGACCGACCACAUACCUAAUGCUUGAACAAAAGUGGGAAUACUGGAGGAUUAGGAAUACCUCAAUUUAUGGCAGGAUUAGCUGGAGUUUUAUCCUGCCUGACAAAGAACUAAAAUGCACAAUCAAGAAGGCAUUCCAACCCCAUUAUCUCCUACUCCUGAUGUAAAGAAUGCAGAAAGAUCACACCCAAAAGAAGAGUUUAUGCCAUCCAUUUGAGGCAUCUCAGUCUGUGACCAGAAAUCAGCAUGUUAGUUGAAUAAUGCUACAGCAAAAAUAAUAGUAAUUCUAUAAGAACUAGACAAAAAAAUCACUUCUUCUCUUGCUUAUAUCACUUCUGCAUAAAACAAAGCUAAUGAAAAGAGAACCAAGCCCAAAGAAAAUAUUUGGUUAGAUCUCAUUCCUCUGCCAAAGAAAUUUACUGCUGAGCUUAAUGGAGUAGGACCAGCACCAGAAAUACCUGCGUCCUCCACGCAGCCCUAUCACUCAGGGCUCUGUUUGGAUGUUGGCUGAGAAAUCAGCGUGUCUGUGACCAGAACAAACCAUCCAGGUGUUAAUCCAGCACACGUUUCCUAGGGCAUGCUUCAGCUUCCUUGCUCCUGAGCAGGGACAUCGGCUGCAUGCGCCUCCUGGGGCUCUGGGGGACCGGUGGCUCUCGGAGGGGGGACAGGGACAGAAGCUGGGCUGGAGCCAGGCAAGAACAACGGACAGAGCCCAGGGAAGGGGAGGAUGGGGAAGAACUGGGAGGUGAUUUUUAUAUGGGGAGGUUCUCAGCACCGCUGCAAGCCACACACGUGCACAGUCAAAGGAUUUUCUCUUAGAAUUCCAUCUUUUUCAGUCUUUGCUCCUACGCUGGUCUGGACAUUUUAAACACACAGAUCUUGCAAUCCAGAGGAAUGGGGGGAGGACCAACAGUGCUAUUUUUUGCAGUAAACACUCGCUCACUGCAAGCCUGCGUAAACACAUUCGAGAAGUGCUGCUGGAGCAGAAUAAAGCCUUGCUCCCCUCCCCAGGCCCAAAGCUUGUCUGGAGCAGCUCCAGCUCAGCCCCCCCUGCUCUGCCCAUGGCUGCUGGGGCAGCAGUGGGACCCCCAUGGGCAGCCGCCCACCACAGCUGGCAGCCACAGGCACGGCCAUGGAGUCAGCAGCAGUCCCAGAUAGCAUAGGGCAGGGACGAGGGGGAAGGCAGCUUCCUGGAACAAGACUCAGGGAUGGUGGGGAAUGAUGGGGAGGCUUUGCCAUCUCCCCCCUCCCUUUUCUCUUUUCAGCAAACCAGCACAGUCC